CCAAAUAUGGAUGCACCAAUCCAAAUUUAAUCAGGCUCCAAUACGGAUAUAGGACCAACGUUUCUCAUAAGCUCCUACCAAACCAGCUUUUUAUGCCAAUAUGACAGUUAAAUGUCAUGAGCAGAGACUUGACAUAACUGCAACAAAGUAAAUUGUACAGAAGUAUCAUAUCAAUCACGUAUAGAAACUAAUCUUAAAUUCCCUAUUCAAGACCACUCAAAUUUCCAUCGAUAUUGUCUUGCAUAACAACUAAAUCUCAUUUUGUUAUUGUUUAGUGCCCUCGUUUUGUUCAAGACAUAGCUCAUAGAUCAGCUAGUUGCUGGUUUUCCCUAAAUGCAUUGAUACCUUCACUGAAGUGCAGUCUAAGUGACGAUAUCUAUAACAUAUUCAUAAAUAUACCUCAAGACAGUAGCCAAGCCGGGAUUUUCACUAAGGGGUGUGAAAUAUGAAGAAGUAAACACAUAAGAAGCCAAAAAAAUUCAACAUAUAUAUAGUAUAUAUACAUAAAAGAGAAUUUACCUAUCCACAUUGUAAUUUUGCAGCGAAGGGGUGUCCUUUGGACAAGGGUGGCUCCAUCACAGCCUUUAGCAAGCCUUUGACAAAUCUGCUCCCAGCAUAGGUAACCUGACUCAACGGUUCACUGCAAAUAGGGAGAAAAGCAGAGAAACGGGAAUAGAUGCAGGCACACAAAUGACAGAUCAAGGAAAUAUUAGAUGAUGAAAAGCAAGAAAGUUCGGAAACAGCCUCUCUAUCUUUACUAGGUAAGGUAAAGGUCUGUGUACACUCUACUCUUCUCACAGACCCUGCUUGUGUGAUUAUACAAGGUAUGUUGUUGAUGUAAAAAACAAGAAAGUAAAAAAUCUCCUUAUUAAAUGUGCACAGAAUUACUAAACCACCUAUAAUCCUGCAAAUACAAGGUGUCAGAACUCAGAAAAGAUAACAAGUUUGGAUCACAAAGUUUCACAAGGUCCAGAUGUUUGAUCAUGUGAGAAGUUUUUUCCAUGGGAGUGCAUACACAAUACUCACGAAUAGAAAAGUGUGUAUAGGUCAAGUAUGCUCACACUUAAAUUAGCACCUCAGAAAAUGUCACCAAAUUAAGGCAAGAGUCUGAAAAGGUAUCUACGUAACAUAAUGACUCGAUUUAAAGAAUCCAACCAAACUCUAUAACUCUAACAAAUAUGUAAGAAGAGGAGAGAAAUCUGCUAGUAUCUCAUGCAAAGUUCUAACAGCUGAACAUACAAAAUAGCUUAACAUCAUCUAAAUAAGAAAGCAGAUCACGAUGCUUCCAAUGCUACUGAUGCAGCUGAACAUACAAAAUGGCUAAACAUCAUCAAACAAGAUGGCUCUACACAGAAAGAAAGAAAAGAAACAGUUCUAGCUCAAAUAAUUUAACCUGUUAGAUCAUAGACACGGCAUAUUAUAGAUGAUAAGGAACAUUCACAAAGAAGCAUUAGGUUGAAAACUAACUCGUCAUGAUUACUCACAAAAAAAAUGAUUAUGGCUAUUAAAUGUUGAAUGUUGUUUCUUUACUCUGCAACAACAUUUAGUUGGUAUACAUAAGAAGUUCUAUUCAGUAUUCAUUAUUUGGCAAAAGACGGAAGAUUAAUCUUAUUCUCAAACAAAAACUAGUUCACAAACUUACUUGCUCAGUAUCAAAACAACCACAAUUCCACCAAGAGUAGAGUGUAUGCAAAUCCUACCCCUACCUUGAGAAGGUAAAGAGAGGUUAUUGCUGAUAGACCCUCGACUGAAUGAACAAUGAAAACGAGGCAGCAAUAACACGCAGAAACAACAACAAGAAAAUAAGAUAACGAGGUUAAAUAAUACUUAACACAUAGUAAUAGUAAUCUAAAGAAAGGGAAAAACAAGAAGAAAAAUAUUAAUACUCUGAGAAUGGAAAGGAAAUACACCCGCCUACCCACUACCCCUCCUACUCUAAUCUUCAACCUCCACCCUCUCCCCUCAAGUUCAUGUCCUCGAUGAGCUAAAGUUGUGUCAUAUCAUGCCUAAUCACCUCACCCCAAUACUUCUUAGGCCUACCUCUACCUCUCCGAAGGAACAACUUUAAAUUUUGGACCCACCUGAGCUUAUCCACAAGAGAAUGAACACCACUGAGCCAUGUCAAAUGCUUUAUUUUUUUAUUCUUUUUUGAAAAGGUAAGAUAUAUAUUAAAAAGGGAACAACUUUGCACUAAGUCGGUAUAAAUAUCAGGAACUCCUGUGUACAAAAAACCAAAAAAAGGAUCCCUAAUGUGAAAGUCUUAUCCUUGUAAAGAUUCUAUGAAAUCUAUCAUACUAUCAUCAUCCUUUACAUCCUGCAGUAGAUUAGGUAAGAUAUAUAUUAAAAAGGGAACAACUUUGCACUAAGUCGGUAUAAAUAUCAGGAACUCCUGUGUACAAAAAACCAAAAAAAGGAUCCCUAAUGUGAAAGUCUUAUCCUUGUAAAGAUUCUAUGAAAUCUAUCAUACUAUCAUCAUCCUUUACAUCCUGCAGUAGAUUACACCAAAAAGUCAGAAUCCAUAAAACAUUUGUAUUUGAUCUGUUGUAAGCUAUUCAUCUUACCCUUCGAAACAUUGGCAUUCCUUAUAUUCCAAAACAUUGAAUAUUGUCAUCAAAGGAUUGAAUG
Molecule: long non-coding RNA, 2625 nt
Filed under: Solanum tuberosum (potato)
Lineage: Eukaryota; Viridiplantae; Streptophyta; Magnoliopsida; Solanales; Solanaceae
Description: long non-coding RNA (STUB_LNC009521)
Source: RNAcentral